AGUGCGGUGGCCGAGUGGUUAAGGCGUUGGACUUAAGUUCCAAUGGACGUUUGUGCUCGUGGGUUCAAAUCCCACCCGCUCUA
RNAcentral lists this transfer RNA (83 nucleotides) under Saccoglossus kowalevskii. RNAcentral describes it as "tRNA-Leu". It matches the Rfam family "tRNA". From Rfam's summary of the family: Transfer RNA (tRNA) molecules are approximately 80 nucleotides in length. Their secondary structure includes four short double-helical elements and three loops (D, anti-codon, and T loops). The record is from RNAcentral. Lineage: Eukaryota; Metazoa; Hemichordata; Enteropneusta; Harrimaniidae.